UUCAGACCGCUAGGUAAUGAGGUUGUAAUGGACGAUGCCGAUCAACCUGCAAUCAGGUGGGAUUAAUGGAUGAGCUCAGGAAUGGGACAAAAGAGGAGGCCGGCAGGAGUUAAGAGACGAUGGGAUCAGAGAGACCGAGCGCUCCGCAGACCCCGCUGGUUGGGCGCCUGCCUGCGCCACGUGUUAUUUGUAGAGUUUUGCUUAAGGAGGACUCCGGAGGCAGACGAAAAAGACAACGCUGGAUGAAUUGAACCGUCCACUCCUUGCAUUUUGGAGCGCAAUGAUGAAACGUGGAGUAUCGGUAACGAAAAGUCCCCCGGUACUCCUUCGCCUUAAACGAAUGGAUUCAAAAGAACGCUGGGCUGAUUUUAACGAUGCCUGCCGGACACCGUGAAUCGACACUUUGGGCUGUGCACAUUUAUUGCUGGUGAGCCUCCUUUGCCUGAAGUGCGAUUUGGAGUUUUACGGACUUGGUUUUUAUAUAAUUGAACUGUGAUGUUGAUAAACCUGACUAUUAAUUGUAAAUGCCAAUUAAGGCAGUUUUUUGGAUUUUUCUUGGGAUUCCUUUUUCUCGUGCCUUAAAGGACUUACUGUGAAAUUCCUUAUUUCUCUCCGUAUGUGGAGAAAUGCCGUCCUCCACCGGCCCAGAAUGCACUGGUCUCAAGAUUCGCCAUCUUGGUGCGGUCGAAUUCUUCUUAGCGCCUGUCGGGAGGCGCCAACGCACAAGGCGAUGAGGAGGCCGCCGCAAAUACGGAAAGGAGCACCGCGGGGAGCGCGCGUCUCUUUUACUAGAAAAGUCUCGAAGGGGGCGCAGGUCUCCACGACUGGGGGCGUGUGGCUCCCACCCCCUCCAAAAAUGCCAACGGCCAGUUAACAGUUUAUGGACAGACGGUAUAUUGUCAUCUGUAAACAAAUCCUGUAACUUUUUUUUUAUUCGGUGCUAAACAAGUAGAAAUGCUUUAUUUUUUUAUAAACUGGUGGCGGUCUGUUGAACUCGAGAUUUCUGCCAAGUCCUCGUUGCCUUGGCUAUGCCGCUUGCACUACUUUAUUUUUUUUACUAACUGUAUGUAUCAGUCUUUGUAUCUAAUAUCUCGUUCGAGGUUUACUAAAACUGUCCAGACGGUCUGUCUUGUUACCUUCUGUGUAACCCCAAGUGUUUGAAUUGUGUGAGGUCGUCGGUUUCGUGUAAUUCAUGUUGAAAGUGCACAGAUUAUGGAGACUGACUAACCAGGCAGACCCCCUUCAGAUUCUUGUGACUAUCUAGUGCAGAGAGUUGAUUCCUGCAAAUGAUUUUUAUUUUAUGUAAUUUAUGAAUGUUUUUUGGCUGUUCAUAAUGGUGACCACUCUUGAAGUGUUAUCUCAUGUUACAGUAAUCUGUCGGAGUUUUGUAAUAUGGGGAAGAUGCAAGCCUUUGUCCUGACUAGUGCUGGUGCCCCGCUGAUUGAAAUGGCUCUCCAUUGGUGCUACUGAUGAUGUUGUGCUGCUGGUGCCAGAAGGCUCAGUUCUCGAGCUGAUGUGCCUGGCUCAAGCCUGUCAGUGUCACUUAACCUUCUUUCCAAAGCUAUCUUGAGGGUUUAUUAACUUGUGCUAUUUCAGGGUUUUGUACAAUGUGAAGUGUGACUGUUGGUUUGUAUUGGUCAUGUUUCUCAACAGCUGUUCAGGCCUAGACCAUUCUCCUCAAACUCCUCUUCAUCUGU
Molecule: long non-coding RNA, 1697 nt
Organism: Erpetoichthys calabaricus (reedfish)
Lineage: Eukaryota; Metazoa; Chordata; Cladistia; Polypteriformes; Polypteridae
Exons: 2
Source: RefSeq, a predicted model, not a curated record